RNAcentral lists this ribosomal RNA (468 nucleotides) under uncultured bacterium. RNAcentral describes it as "partial 16S ribosomal RNA". It matches the Rfam family "Bacterial small subunit ribosomal RNA", at positions 28 to 507 of the family's 1533-position model. The record is from RNAcentral.
GACGAACGCUGGCGGCGUGCUUAACACAUGCAAGUCGAACGGCAAGGCCCUGCGUUUGUGGGGUGCUCGAGUGGCGAUCGGGUGCGUAACAGGUGAGUAACCUGCCCUUGACUUUGGGAUAACUUCAGGUAGCUGGGGCUAAUACCGGAUAGGAGAUCCUGCUGCAUUGAGGGGGUUGGAACGUUGCGGCGGUCGCGGAUGGAUGGGCGGGUUAUCAGCUUGCUGGUGGGGUAGUGGCAUACCAAGGAUUUGACGGAUAGCCGGCCUGAGAGGGUGACCGGCCACAUGGGUACUACGGGACGGAGCAGACUGGUAUGGGGGGCAGUAGGGGGGAGUCUUGCACAAUGGGCGGAAGUCUGAUGCGACAACGCUGCGUGUGUAAUGACCUCCUGCGGGGUGUAAACCGCAUUCGCCUGUGACGAAGCGGGAGUGACGGUAAUGAGUGAAGAAGCACCGGCUAACUACGUG